RNAcentral lists this ribosomal RNA (136 nucleotides) under uncultured bacterium. RNAcentral describes it as "partial 16S ribosomal RNA". The record is from RNAcentral.
CACGUAGUUGGCCGGUGCUUCUUCUGCAGGUACCGUCUGAAUUCGUCCCUGCUGAAAGGGGUUUACAACCCGAGGGCCUUCAUCCCCCACGCAGAGUUGCUGCGUCAGGCUUUCGCCCAUUGCGCAAGAUUCCCUA